AAGCGGAGGAAAAGAAACCAACAGGGAUUGCCUUAGUAGCGGCGAGUGAAGCGGCAAAAGCUCAAAUUUGAAAUCUGGCUCUUUCAGAGUCCGAGUUGUAAUUUGAAGAAGGUAUCUUUGGGUCUGGCUCUUGUCUAUGUUUCUUGGAACAGAACGUCACAGAGGGUGAGAAUCCCGUGCGAUGAGAUGAUCCAGGCCUAUGUAAAGUUCCUUCGAAGAGUCGAGUUGUUUGGGAAUGCAGCUCUAAGUGGGUGGUAAAUUCCAUCUAAAGCUAAAUAUUGGCGAGAGACCGAUAGCGAACAAGUACAGUGAUGGAAAGAUGAAAAGAACUUUGAAAAGAGAGUGAAAAAGUACGUGAAAUUGUUGAAAGGGAAGGGCUUGAGAUCAGACUUGGUAUUUUGUAUGUUACUUCUUCGGGGGUGGCCUCUACAGUUUAUCGGGCCAGCAUCAGUUUGGGCGGUAGGAGAAUUGCGUUGGAAUGUGGCACGGCUUCGGUUGUGUGUUAUAGCCUUCGUCGAUACUGCCAGCCUAGACUGAGGACUGCGGUUUAUACCUAGGAUGU
RNAcentral lists this ribosomal RNA (562 nucleotides) under Candida tropicalis. RNAcentral describes it as "partial large subunit ribosomal RNA". It matches the Rfam family "Eukaryotic large subunit ribosomal RNA", at positions 48 to 626 of the family's 3401-position model. The record is from RNAcentral. Lineage: Eukaryota; Fungi; Ascomycota; Pichiomycetes; Serinales; Debaryomycetaceae.